This 514-nucleotide ribosomal RNA is filed under the name Halomonas sp. Halo30-3. RNAcentral describes it as "bacterial SSU rRNA". It matches the Rfam family "Bacterial small subunit ribosomal RNA", at positions 31 to 543 of the family's 1533-position model. The record is from RNAcentral. Lineage: Bacteria; Pseudomonadati; Pseudomonadota; Gammaproteobacteria; Oceanospirillales; Halomonadaceae.
GAAUGUGCGGCGGCUACCAUGCAGUCGAGCGGAACGAUGGAAGCUUGCUUCCAGGCGUCGAGCGGCGGACGGGUGAGUAAUGCAUAGGAAUCUGCCCGGUAGUGGGGGAUAACCUGGGGAAACCCAGGCUAAUACCGCAUACGUCCUACGGGAGAAAGCAGGGGAUCUUCGGACCUUGCGCUAUCGGAUGAGCCUAUGUCGGAUUAGCUAGUUGGUGAGGUAAUGGCUCACCAAGGCCGCGAUCCGUAGCUGGUCUGAGAGGAUGAUCAGCCACAUCGGGACUGAGACACGGCCCGAACUCCUACGGGAGGCAGCAGUGGGGAAUAUUGGACAAUGGGCGAAAGCCUGAUCCAGCCAUGCCGCGUGUGUGAAGAAGGCCCUCGGGUUGUAAAGCACUUUCAGUGAGGAAGAACGCUUGCGGGUUAAUACCCCGCAGGAAGGACAUCACUCACAGAAGAAGCACCGGCUAACUCCGUGCCUGCAGCCGCGGUAAUACGGAGGGUGCGAGCGUUAA